Molecule: long non-coding RNA, 835 nt
Organism: Symphalangus syndactylus (siamang)
Lineage: Eukaryota; Metazoa; Chordata; Mammalia; Primates; Hylobatidae
Source: RefSeq, a predicted model, not a curated record
UUUCUCUCCUAGUUCUUUCUCUGCUCAAGAAAAGCAGCUUGUCUGAUCAACUAAGCUAUGUAUGAUUCACUGCCAGCACAGACUGAAAAACAAAAUAAACUCUCAUUCACAGUCCUUUGUUGCGUAACAAUGAGGAGACGUUCUGAGAAAUGCAUCGUUAGGCAAUUGCAUCAUUGUGCAAACAAUAAAGAGUGUACUUACCCAAACCUAAAUGGCACAGCCUACUACACACCCAGGCUGUAGGCUGUGCUUCUAGACUACAAACCUGUACAGUGUGCUACUGAACACUGUAGGCAACUGUAACACAAUGGGCACGUACCGUAAGCUUGGAGCUUACGAGACUGGAAGUUGCUCUGGGUGAGGCAGUGAGUGAGUGGAACGUGAGAGCCACCUGGUGGAAGGUUUCAUUAGCAAGGAGGACGAGGGAGAGCUUGGCAGCUUGGCAGAGCUGCAGGUUGUGGAGAAGCAGCUGAGACAGCAGCCCCGAGAGAGGAGAUGUGUGCUUCCCUGGAGCACAGGGCAGGUUGACAUAUCAGCUGCGGAACAGUGUCUGGACCAGAAGCCUUUGCUCACUGUGAGAGAUAGGCCGGGCCACUUACUUGCUCACCGCGCAUGGGGGCUGAGUGGUGGCUGUUAGAGAACCCUGGAGGCCAGUGGUUGAGGCUCUGAAGGGGACAUGGCUGUCGCCGUGGGAGCAGGGAGCCAAGAAAACUGCCGAAGCAAGCAGCCUGCUUUCGGAGCCAAGCCCUGAGGGGCAGGUGUCGGGGCUUCCAUUCAAGUGUCAAGUGAGAAAACUUCAGCCACUUUGCAGAGACUCCACCAAUCCUGUGUUGAA